Molecule: ribosomal RNA, 1966 nt
Filed under: Streptococcus pneumoniae
Lineage: Bacteria; Bacillati; Bacillota; Bacilli; Lactobacillales; Streptococcaceae
Description: partial 23S ribosomal RNA
Rfam family: Bacterial large subunit ribosomal RNA
Source: RNAcentral
GGUUAAGUUAAUAAGGGCGCACGGUGGAUGCCUUGGCACUAGGAGCCGACGAAGGACGUGACAAACGACGAUAUGCCUUGGGUAGCUGUAAGUAAGCGAUGAUCCAGGGAUUUCCGAAUGGGGGAACCCAACAGGUAGUACCUGUUACCCACAUCUGUUAAGGAUGUGAGGAGGAAGACGCAGUGAACUGAAACAUCUAAGUAGCUGCAGGAAGAGAAAGCAAAAGCGAUUGCCUUAGUAGCGGCGAGCGAAACGGCAGGAGGGCAAACCGAAGAGUUUACUCUUCGGGGUUGUAGGACUGCAAUGUGGACUCAAAGAUUAUAGAAGAAUGAUUUGGGAAGAUCAGCCAAAGAGAGUAAUAGCCUCGUAUUUAAAAUAGUCUUUGUACUUAGCAGUAUCCUGAGUACGGCGGGACACGUGAAAUCCCGUCGGAAUCUGGGAGGACCAUCUCCCAACCCUAAAUACUCCCUAGUGACCGAUAGUGAACCAGUACCGUGAGGGAAAGGUGAAAAGCACCCCGGGAGGGGAGUGAAAUAGAACCUGAAACCGUGUGCCUACAACAAGUUCGAGCCCGUUAAUGGGUGAGAGCGUGCCUUUUGUAGAAUGAACCGGCGAGUUACGUUAUGAUGCGAGGUUAAGUUGAAGAGACGGAGCCGUAGGGAAACCGAGUCUGAAUAGGGCGCCUUAGUAUCAUGACGUAGACCCGAAACCAUGUGACCUACCCAUGAGCAGGUUGAAGGUGCGGUAAGACGCACUGGAGGACCGAACCAGGGCACGUUGAAAAGUGCUUGGAUGACUUGUGGGUAGCGGAGAAAUUCCAAACGAACUUGGAGAUAGCUGGUUCUCUCCGAAAUAGCUUUAGGGCUAGCGUCGACAUUAGAGAUUCUUGGAGGUAGAGCACUGUUUGGGUGAGGGGUCCAUCCCGGAUUACCAAUCUCAGAUAAACUCCGAAUGCCAAUGAAUUAUGGUCGGCAGUCAGACUGCGAGUGCUAAGAUCCGUAGUCGAAAGGGAAACAGCCCAGACCACCAGCUAAGGUCCCAAAAUAAUUGUUAAGUGGAAAAGGAUGUGGGGUUGCACAGACAACUAGGAUGUUAGCUUAGAAGCAGCUAUUCAUUCAAAGAGUGCGUAAUAGCUCACUAGUCGAGUGACCCUGCGCCGAAAAUGUACCGGGGCUAAAACAAUUUACCGAAGCUGUGGAUACCUUUAUAGGUAUGGUAGGAGAGCGUUCUAUGUGUGAUGAAGGUAUACCGUGAGGAGUGCUGGAACGCAUAGAAGUGAGAAUGCCGGUAUGAGUAGCGAAAGACAGGUGAGAAUCCUGUCCACCGUAAGACUAAGGUUUCCAGGGGAAGGCUCGUCCGCCCUGGGUUAGUCGGGACCUAAGGAGAGACCGAAAGGUGUAUCCGAUGGACAACAGGUUGAUAUUCCUGUACUAGAGUAUGUAGUGAUGGAGGGACGCAGUAGGCUAACUAAAGCAGACGAUUGGAAGAGUCUGUCUAAGCAGUGAGGUGUGAAUUGAGUCAAAUGCUUAAUUCUAUAACAUUGAGCUGUGAUGGGGAGCGAAGUUUAGUAGCGAAGUUAGUGACGUCACACUGCCAAGAAAAGCUUCUAGCGUUUAAACAUACUCUACCCGUACCGCAAACCGACACAGGUAGUCGAGGCGAGUAGCCUCAGGUGAGCGAGAGAACUCUCGUUAAGGAACUCGGCAAAAUGACCCCGUAACUUCGGGAGAAGGGGUGCUGACUUAAAGUCAGCCGCAGUGAAUAGGCCCAAGCAACUGUUUAUCAAAAACACAGCUCUCUGCUAAAUCGUAAGAUGAUGUAUAGGGGGUGACGCCUGCCCGGUGCUGGAAGGUUAAGAGGAGUGCUUAGCGUAAGCGAAGGUAUGAAUUGAAGCCCCAGUAAACGGCGGCCGUAACUAUAACGGUCCUAAGGUAGCGAAAUUCCUUGUCGGGUAAGUUCCGACCCG